This 69-nucleotide antisense RNA is filed under the name Saccharothrix variisporea. Its description in RNAcentral is "Dactylosporangium variesporum ASpks TB sRNA". It matches the Rfam family "ASpks TB sRNA". The record is from Rfam by way of RNAcentral. Lineage: Bacteria; Bacillati; Actinomycetota; Actinomycetes; Pseudonocardiales; Pseudonocardiaceae.
CUUCACCGACCCCAGCCACAGCGGGUCGGAGCGGUCCUGGCCGUAGGUGGCGAGCAGGGCCUGCGCCUC